RNAcentral lists this ribosomal RNA (491 nucleotides) under uncultured bacterium. Its description in RNAcentral is "partial 16S ribosomal RNA". It matches the Rfam family "Bacterial small subunit ribosomal RNA", at positions 29 to 507 of the family's 1533-position model. The record is from RNAcentral.
AGUGAACGCUGCGGUAGGCCUAACACAUGCAAGUCGAACGGCAGCACAGUAAGAGCUUGCUCUUACGGGUGGCGAGUGGCGGACGGGUGAGGAAUACAUCGGAAUCUACUUUUUCGUGGGGGAUAACGUAGGGAAACUUACGCUAAUACCGCAUACGACCUACGGGUGGAAGCAGGGGAUCUUCGGACCUUGCGCGAUUGAAUGAGCCGAUGUCGGAUUAGCUAGUUGGCGGGGUAAAGGCCCACCAAGGCGAUGAUCCGUAGCUGGUCUGAGAGGAUGAUCAGCCACACUGGAACUGAGACACGGUCCAGACUCCUACGGGAGGCAGCAGUGGGGAAUAUUGGACAAUGGGCGCAAGCCUGAUCCAGCCAUACCGCGUGGGUGAAGAAGGCCUUCGGGUUGUAAAGCCCUUUUGUUGGGAAAGAAAAGCAGCAGGUUAAUACCCCGCUGUUCUGACGGUACCCAAAGAAUAAGCACCGGCUAACUUCGUG